GUGGGGAAUCUUGCGCAAUGGGCGAAAGCCUGACGCAGCCAUGCCGCGUGAAUGAUGAAGGUCUUAGGAUUGUAAAAUUCUUUCACCGGGGACGAUAAUGACGGUACCCGGAGAAGAAGCUCCGGCUAACUUCGUGCCAGCAGCCGCGGUAAUACGAAGGGGGCUAGCGUUGCUCGGAAUUACUGGGCGUAAAGGGCGCGUAGGCGGACAGCUUAGUCAGAGGUGAAAGCCCGAGGCUCAACCUUGGAAUUGCCUUUGAUACUGGCUGUCUUGAGUUUGGGAGAAGUGAGUGGAACUACGAGUGUAGAGGUGAAAUUCGUAGAUAUUCGGAAGAACACCAGUGGCGAAGGCGACUCACUGGCCCAAUACUGACGCUGAGGUACGAAAGCAUGGGGAGCAAACAGGAUUAGAAACCCUUGUAGUCC
This 425-nucleotide ribosomal RNA is filed under the name uncultured bacterium. Its description in RNAcentral is "partial 16S ribosomal RNA". It matches the Rfam family "Bacterial small subunit ribosomal RNA", at positions 354 to 796 of the family's 1533-position model. The record is from RNAcentral.